GAGCUUCAAAGGGUUGCCAGCACAUAUACUAAAAUCAGAAUGAUACAGAGAAGAUUAGCAUGGCCCCUGGGCAAGGAUUCAUGAAGUGGUCCAUAAAAAAAAAAAAAAAAA
This is a small nuclear RNA of Grammomys surdaster, 111 nucleotides long. Lineage: Eukaryota; Metazoa; Chordata; Mammalia; Rodentia; Muridae. The record is from RefSeq and is a predicted model, not a curated record.